This 214-nucleotide long non-coding RNA is filed under the name Panax ginseng (ginseng). RNAcentral's name for it is "long non-coding RNA (PGIN_LNC018284)". Lineage: Eukaryota; Viridiplantae; Streptophyta; Magnoliopsida; Apiales; Araliaceae. The record is from RNAcentral.
CGUGUAUACUUGCACGCAGGGGCGAAGCUAUGGUAAAAUUGUGGGGUCAAUUGACCCCACUCAAUUUUUGAAAUCAAUUACAAAUUUUUUUUUACCCCACUCAAUUUUUGACUCCUACUCAAUUUUUGACCCCACUCAGAUUUUUUUUUAAUUAGAGAUACCCAAGCGGUCAAGCUUCAGUCCUAAAUCUCAUACAUCAAUAUCUGUUCAGCAC